AACCAUCCGGGGUACAGACGAGGGAAAAUGGCCAAAGGAAUAACAGCGUGAGCACCCAACAGCUGUCUGUCAAUCCCCUGCGCCACGUGGGAGGCCACUUCCUAGGCUCCCCCCUAGGCAGUCCACUAUUGGGCGCCGCUGUGGCCAAACCCGUGGGUUCCCGGUGGAAGGGAGGUGGGUCCCACGCAGGCCACCCCAGCGCCCUCUCCGCACUGCUGAAGGACCCGUCAUCGCCUCCAUCUGGUGCCUGCGAAUUCAGCCCCCCUUUCCACCGCAGGGCCACCGCCCAGCCCUCUCUGAUUCAAAGGACAGGCGGAAGCAGCGCAGAACUGCCACCUCCAGGGAAACGUGCUGAAAGGCGGGGACCGGGAAGGCGGCUGCGUUUGGUCGGGACGGCAAAGCGGCUCAGCGACAGGGCACAGGAGGAGCGUGUCAGAACAGGACCCGGGGUUGUCAGGGCCCAAGAAGAGGGUGGUCCUGCGAGCCACUGCUUCCUGCGCGUGUCAGUGCCCUUCGGAAAGGAGCUCCGCCGAGGAGUCGGCCUCCCGGUUCCAAAGGUCUCCGGCCAAAUUAUUUGGGCCCUGCUCCAGGACGCAUGAAGGGUCAGUCGCCUGCGCUGGAGACAGGUGCGCCCCCCCGCCCUUUCCUCCGCAAGAGAAACACCCUGUGUCUGUGCCCCUCGCUCUUCCGUGAUCAAUUGAAUUCAGCCACUAGAUUUUCACUUUGGCUUCUCGCCUGGAUUUUGAGGAACCUAAGGUUUCAUCCCGUUUUCAUCCUUCUCAAGAAGCAGCCUACUCUGCCGUUUUUCCAUCUCCCCGACCCCAGCUGCAGUGGCGAUGCGAUACACUAAAUGCGGAAAACACUGCCCGAGAGCAGGGUCUCCAUACAGAGAAACAGUGCCACAUGAUGCAAAUAACAGAAAACAGAGGGACAUAAGAAGAUGGAUGUGAGGACUUGAGGUGUGCAGCCACAAGCCCAGGAAUGCCCAGGGCCACCAGGCUAGAAGAGGCAGGAAGGGUCCUGCCCCAGAGGCUGUGGAGGGAGCACAGCCCUGCCCACACCUGGAGUUGGGACUUCUGUCCUCCAGAACUGUGAGAGACUACACUUCUGUUGUUUUAAAUCA
This is a long non-coding RNA of Ictidomys tridecemlineatus (thirteen-lined ground squirrel), 1123 nucleotides long. RefSeq lists it as uncharacterized. The record is from RefSeq and is a predicted model, not a curated record. Lineage: Eukaryota; Metazoa; Chordata; Mammalia; Rodentia; Sciuridae.